CACGUAGGAGGCAAGCGUUAUUCGGAUUUACUGGGCGUAAAGCGCGUGUAGGCGGUUCGGAGAGUUGGAUGUGAAAGCUCCUGGCUUAACUGGGAGAGGCCGUUCAAUACUUCCGGACUUGAGGAUGGUAGAGGAAGAUGGAAUUCCGAGUGUAGUGGUGAAAUGCGCAGAUAUUCGGAGGAACACCAGUGGCGAAAGCGAUCUUCUAGACCAUAACUGACGCUCAGACGCGAAAGCUAGGGUAGCAAACGGGAUUAGAGACCCCGGUAGUCCUAGCUGUAAACGAUGUAGACUAGGCGUUGGUGGGUUCAAAUCCAUCAGUGCCGGAGCAAACGCGAUAAGUCUACCGCCUGGGGACUACGGCCGCAAGGUUAAA
Molecule: ribosomal RNA, 376 nt
Filed under: uncultured Chloroflexota bacterium
Lineage: Bacteria; Bacillati; Chloroflexota
Description: bacterial SSU rRNA
Rfam family: Bacterial small subunit ribosomal RNA
Source: RNAcentral